CUUGCCUGGCUCAUGAAGAUCCAGACGGGGCUCAGCCUUCAGACCAAUGGCGAGGGCUCACUGCUGACUUUGGCAAGAGCCCCUUUGGAGGAGGGCUGGGGUGCAAGCCUGACCAGAGGGACUCCCAGAGCAGGAGGGAGGCAAGGAUCUGGAGAAUUGGUGCCUCAUCCAGGGUUGUCUGGAUCAGAGAAUGCCAGGGUCAGAUGGGACCUCAAAAGGCCACCAUCAGGCCUCCAGUCUCACCCCUCCCAGCUGUCCUCGUGGUAGCCAGAGUGACCACCCACGACCCAGGCUGGAGCAUACUCCUCUCCUGCUUAAAACCAGGUGAGCCUAUAAUUUAUCGCCCAAACAGGGAUACGUUAGAGGGCAA
Molecule: long non-coding RNA, 370 nt
Filed under: Mustela putorius furo (domestic ferret)
Lineage: Eukaryota; Metazoa; Chordata; Mammalia; Carnivora; Mustelidae
Description: lncRNA (ENSMPUG00000029962.1)
Source: RNAcentral